Molecule: ribosomal RNA, 433 nt
Filed under: uncultured bacterium
Lineage: Bacteria
Description: partial 16S ribosomal RNA
Rfam family: Bacterial small subunit ribosomal RNA
Source: RNAcentral
AGCGAACGCUGGCGGCAGGCCUAACACAUGCAAGUCGAACGAACUCUUCGGAGUUAGUGGCGUGCGGUUGAGUAACACGUGGGAACUUGCCUUUUGGUUCGGAAUAACUCAGGGAAACUUGUGCUAAUACCGUAUGUGCCCUUCGGGGGAAAGAUUUAUCGCCAUUAGAGCGGCCCGCGUCUGAUUAGCUAGUUGGUGUGGUAACGGCUCACCAAGGCGACGAUCAGUAGCUGGUCUGAGAGGAUGACCAGCCACACUGGGACUGAGACACGGCCCAGACUCCUACGGGAGGCAGCAGUGGGGAAUCUUGCGCAAUGGGCGAAAGCCUGACGCAGCCAUGCCGCGUGAAUGAUGAAGGUCUUAGGAUUGUAAAAUUCUUUCACCGGGGACGAUAAUGACGGUACCCGGAGAAGAAGCCCCGGCUAACUUCGUG